UACGGGGGGAGCAAGCGUUGUUCGGAUUUAUUGGGCGUAAAGGGCGCGUAGGCGGUCAGCACAAGUCAGUUGUGAAAUCUCCGGGCUUAACUCGGAAAGGUCAACUGAUACUGUGCGACUAGAGUGCAGAAGGGGCAACUGGAAUUCUCGGUGUAGCGGUGAAAUGCGUAGAUAUCGAGAGGAACACCUGCGGCGAAGGCGGGUUGCUGGGCUGACACUGACGCUGAUGCGCGAAAGCCAGGGGAGCGAACGGG
This 254-nucleotide ribosomal RNA is filed under the name uncultured bacterium. RNAcentral's name for it is "partial 16S ribosomal RNA". It matches the Rfam family "Bacterial small subunit ribosomal RNA", at positions 524 to 776 of the family's 1533-position model. The record is from RNAcentral.